AAUAACUCUAUCGAUGCUAUGGCGGGAACUCUUAGCUAUGUUUCUUAGGAGAGUGGCCUGAGGGGUUCUUCUCCAGUUAGCAUGUUUAAUACACUCAUACUUCUCACUAAGUUGACCUUACUGCACAACAUACCUAUAACCGGCAAAAGGAGGGCUUGCUGCCCCUCUAAGGGUAGUUCACCCACCUACAGAAAUUUAAUAUGUAUCUAAGAC
This is a non-coding RNA of Pelobates cultripes (western spadefoot toad), 213 nucleotides long. The record is from the annotation of a GenBank genome assembly. NCBI's taxonomy places the organism in Eukaryota, Metazoa, Chordata, Amphibia, Anura, Pelobatidae.